ACGGGUGAGUAACACGUAUCCAACCUGCCGUCUACUCUUGGACAGCCUUCUGAAAGGAAGAUUAAUACAAGAUGGCAUCAUGAGUCCGCAUGUUCACAUGAUUAAAGGUAUUUCCGGUAGACGAUGGGGAUGCGUUCCAUUAGAUAGUAGGCGGGGUAACGGCCCACCUAGUCUACGAUGGAUAGGGGUUCUGAGAGGAAGGUCCCCCACAUUGGAACUGAGACACGGUCCAA
RNAcentral lists this ribosomal RNA (233 nucleotides) under uncultured bacterium. Its description in RNAcentral is "partial 16S ribosomal RNA". It matches the Rfam family "Bacterial small subunit ribosomal RNA", at positions 102 to 334 of the family's 1533-position model. The record is from RNAcentral.